AUUGCGCAAUGGGGGGAACCCUGACGCAGCAACGCCGCGUGAGUGAAGAAGGCCUUCGGGUCGUAAAACUCUGUCAUUAGGGAAGAAUAAAGUGACGGUACCUAAUGAGGAAGCCCCGGCUAACUACGUGCCAGCAGCCGCGGUAAUACGUAGGGGGCGAGCGUUGUCCGGAAUUACUGGGCGUAAAGGGUGCGUAGGCGGCCAAUUAAGUCAGAUGUGAAAUACCAGGGCUCAACCCUGGGGGUGCAUAUGAAACUGGUUGGCUUGAGUGCAGGAGAGGAAAGUGGAAUUCCUAGUGUAGCGGUGAAAUGCGUAGAUAUUGGGAGGAACACCAGUGGCGAAGGCGACUACCUGGACGAAAACUGACGCUGAUGCACGAAAGCUAGGGGAGCAAAC
This 396-nucleotide ribosomal RNA is filed under the name uncultured bacterium. RNAcentral describes it as "partial 16S ribosomal RNA". It matches the Rfam family "Bacterial small subunit ribosomal RNA", at positions 363 to 773 of the family's 1533-position model. The record is from RNAcentral.